GCACUGCUGAGGAGUCCCAAAAUAGGACGAGACGGCCCUCCAGUGC
Non-coding RNA from Schistosoma curassoni, 46 nucleotides. The record is from Rfam. NCBI's taxonomy places the organism in Eukaryota, Metazoa, Platyhelminthes, Trematoda, Strigeidida, Schistosomatidae.